CUCCCGCAUCCCAAGUUCAGAGAAAAAAAAACUCCCACAACAGAUCGUAGUUAUAGGGUUUUCACACACUCAUCUCCCCAUCAGCCCGACUGAUCCAUCCCCUCACCAUGACGGAGAACGGCGGCAAGACGUGACAGCCGCACCGUCACCUAGAGCGGCCCACGCAUCCGGCGGAAGACGUGGUAGCGCCCGCCACCAUGACCACCCCGCGUUGAUGGCGGCCGAGGCAGAGGCGAAGAGCCUGAACGAGGCUGAGCCGGAUAUUGAGGAGGAGGAGGAGGAGGAGGAGGCCGAGGGGGACGGGCAGCACAAGCACGACGUGGGCGGCGGCAAAGAGGAGGCGGGUAUGCCGCGUCUACUGCAGGGUCUACAGCAGGCGUAGCGCCGUACGCACAUGGGUGUCGCCUUCCUCCGUGUAGUUCAGCUGCUGUCCGCGUUCCCUUCUCUCAGAUCCCGCUGCUUCCCUCCUGGAUAUGGCGGCCACCUGGUGCCUCAUGGACGAUGCUAUCGGUGAACCCAUCAGUUCUGAUAUUAUUCUUUUGUGUGUCACUACCAGCAGCAGAGAAGAUUUUGUGUUGAAAAAGACAGGUACACCCUUGCUUUAUAGGUUCGUAUAACAAAAUUAUUUUGGAUUUUUUUCUUACAACAUAAUUGUUCCUUAGUUCAUAGGUUUAUAUAGUGGUCCACAAAACUUUCUGGGAGACGAUUGCUUUUUAUUUGGCUAUCCAUCUGUUUAUUUGUUUUCCCAAUUUCAGAGGUAGGAAACAGUCUUGCAUGCAUUUUCUACAAUUCAAUGGUAAAUAUGGUAGAACCUCUCAACCUCAUGCUUAUAUGAAUAUGAGACAACUCAAUCCUGCCUUCCAUUGUCCAGUAUGCUGAACAGAUGGAAAAUUUGGGUCUGCAUAGCUAUUCAGACAAGUGGCAAGGACAUGUAUUACGAAUCUCUUUUCCUAGCAUUAUCUUUUACUCCAUAUCCAAUAACUUAUACACUAUCAGUUAUUGACUAAGAGAUUAAUCUUCACUUAUAAUACACACACAAGUCUGUACUUAUGUUUUUGUGUUGACUUUACAUGGAAGUGUAUAAUGAUUUGCUCUUCCUAUGUCAACUAUCUGACAAGCAGAUGUCAGAUGUUCAUGGUUAACACUUACAGUAUUACACACUAUUGUGUAAAUAGUCAUGAAUUCAUAUCCAACCGCAGCUAACAUGGCAUUUGGAAGGUUUGAUUUUAUAAAACCUUCAAAAGUAUGACCAUAUUUUUAUGGUCGUAGCAAUAUUUUUAUCGAGGUCAGUAUGUUCAUGCCACGCCCAACCAGUUGUCAUGGUUUAGAUGGUUCAACAGAAUAUUGAUUCUAUGGCUGUUGAGAUUGUUCUCCUAUUGGUCGUCUCUCUUGCUUGGUACUGUACUGUGCACUGUCGUUUUCGGUGUCUCUUUGUCUCAAUGUGCUUUCUCGGACGUGGAUGCUCGAUGGAGAGAGAUUUGCCUGGGCAAGUGCCCGAUUGCCGAUAUGUCUGAUUGUAUUGCUUCCCUUCAUCUUUAUUUCUACGAUAUGUAUACUUGCUAAUCCCGUAUUUUCUCAUGGGCAGUUUAAAGUUGUAGUUUCGAGGGUAACAUCAACGAAAGAGUUGAAUAUAUUUGGGAUAGAUGAAACUGGUGCACCAUCUAUGGAGACAAGUUAUAUCAAAGAAGUGCUUGAACACCUCCAAAAAUGUUGCCUGCAAUCUACCGUUCCAUGUCUAAUUAGUCAUAUACUUCCAUUUUCAAUAUGUAUACUGUACACUCACUUAACUAAUGUCUUCUCCUACUCUUUCAUUCCCAGAGUUCUAUUUUGUGCAGACGGAGCCAGAUGUGCCAGUUCUACCCCUAAGGCCCCAACUGAGUAGUACUGUGUUAGACUGAAGUUUGCAGAUAGCUCUGAAAUGCGGGCAUCAUCAGUAAUUUGUACUGAAGUAUUUUAUAAUGGCACAUUUUGUCAGUACAAACGUUUUGCUGUAUAAUCGGUCUAAGUUGAUCAUCCACAUCUUAUAGUGAUUGCGCAGAUGAUCAGCCUCACUAAAUACUGAGGUCUGUUGUACCACAGCGGAUCGACCUACCUUAGUAAAUGAUGUUUGCCUUGGACGAGAUUACUGAAUCAUCGACUGAAUAUAAUCUGAUCUGCUGCUAUGUCAGAGGAGGAAAGGAUGAUGGUUUCUUCCGACGGGAUUUGAUCACUAGAAAUUUUAGUUGUACUAGACUAGGACAUAUUGUAAUCUUCUAUGUACUAUUUACGUCUGGCUACUCCAUGGACUAUGUAUAAGAUCUCGAUAAAUAUUUGUGCCACUGGCUAAUUCGUGCUA
Lolium perenne is the source of this 2335-nucleotide long non-coding RNA. RefSeq lists it as uncharacterized. NCBI's taxonomy places the organism in Eukaryota, Viridiplantae, Streptophyta, Magnoliopsida, Poales, Poaceae. The record is from RefSeq and is a predicted model, not a curated record.